This 375-nucleotide long non-coding RNA is filed under the name Rosa chinensis. RNAcentral describes it as "sRNA RchiOBHm_Chr5g0023821". The record is from RNAcentral. Lineage: Eukaryota; Viridiplantae; Streptophyta; Magnoliopsida; Rosales; Rosaceae.
GGGGUGGCCGGAGGUCGCCGGAAACCACCAUCACAGUGGCGGCACCACCGUCCAUCCAAAGUCAAAAUUAGAAAAAACUCCCAACAUGAAAGUUCUUCAUCUUAACUCGAAUUGAAACCUUCAUAACUACACAAAAGUCUGAGGUGCAGAAUCCCCUCAAGAAUCAAGGUAAAAGGUGGCCGGAGGAGGGAGAACGAUGGUGGGGAAAGGAGGUGAUUUCAAGCUCGACUGCACCGUGUUCUUCGACUUGUAGCGGCUACCACGUUGGUUAUUUCCCCUCAAUGUUUUCUGUAAAGUUGUAAUAUAGCUCAAGCCCAGAAAAAUCCCUUUUGGAAUCAACUCGAUUCGAGGUCGGAUGAGAGAGAUAUCGGCCGG